RNAcentral lists this ribosomal RNA (320 nucleotides) under uncultured bacterium. RNAcentral describes it as "bacterial SSU rRNA". It matches the Rfam family "Bacterial small subunit ribosomal RNA", at positions 470 to 789 of the family's 1533-position model. The record is from RNAcentral.
UGACGGUACCUGGAGAAAAAGCAACGGCUAACUACCUGCCAGCCGCCGCGGUAAUACUUAGGUUGCAAGCGUUGUCCGGAUUUACUGGGUGUAAAGGGCGUGUAGGCGGAGCCGCAAGUCAGAUGUGAAAUCCCGGGGCUCAACCCCGGAGCUGCAUUUGAAACUGUACCCCUUGAGUAUCGAAGAGGCAAGCGGAAUUCCUAGUGUAGCGGUGAAAUGCGUAGAUAUUAGGAGGAACACCGGUGGCGAAGGCGGCUUACUGGACGAUAACUGACGUUGAGGCUCGAAAGCGUGGGGAGCAAACAGGAUUAAAUACCCUG